This 253-nucleotide ribosomal RNA is filed under the name uncultured bacterium. Its description in RNAcentral is "partial 16S ribosomal RNA". It matches the Rfam family "Bacterial small subunit ribosomal RNA", at positions 524 to 776 of the family's 1533-position model. The record is from RNAcentral.
UACGUAGGGUGCGAGCGUUGUCCGGAAUUAUUGGGCGUAAAGGGCUCGUAGGCGGUUUGUCGCGUCGGGAGUGAAAACCCAGGGCUUAACCCUGGGCUGGCUUCCGAUACGGGCAGACUAGAGGUAUGCAGGGGAGAACGGAAUUCCUGGUGUAGCGGUGAAAUGCGCAGAUAUCAGAAGGAACACCGGUGGCGAAGGCGGUUCUCUGGGCAUUACCUGACGCUGAGGAGCGAAAGUGUGGGGAGCGAACAGG